UGGGGAAUCUUGCGCAAUGGCCGAAAGGCUGACGCAGCGACGCCGCGUGGGGGAUGACGCAUUUCGGUGUGUAAACCCCUGUUGCCCGGGACGAACACCUCCUUUUGGGGAGGGCUGACGGUACCGGGUGAGGAAGCACCGGCUAACUCCGUGCCAGCAGCCGCGGUAAUACGGAGGGUGCGAGCGUUGUCCGGAAUCACUGGGCGUAAAGGGCGCGUAGGCGGCUACUUAAGCGUGUGGUGAAAGUCCGGGGCUCAACCCCGGAUCGGCCGUGCGAACUGAGUGGCUUGAGCACUGUAGAGGCAGGUGGAAUUCCGGGUGUAGCGGUGGAAUGCGUAGAGAUCCGGAAGAACACCGGUUGGCGAAGGCGGCCUGCUGGGCAGUGGCUGACGCUGAGGCGCGACAGCGUGGGGAGCAAAAC
Molecule: ribosomal RNA, 421 nt
Filed under: uncultured Gemmatimonas sp.
Lineage: Bacteria; Pseudomonadati; Gemmatimonadota; Gemmatimonadia; Gemmatimonadales; Gemmatimonadaceae
Description: bacterial SSU rRNA
Rfam family: Bacterial small subunit ribosomal RNA
Source: RNAcentral